UGGACGAAGACAGAGAAGUGGAGUAUGACCAUGUAUCAUUGUAGUGAGGAUGUACCUCCAGCGAGGGAGAGCAAGAGUUUGAGUGCCUGAGCCAAGUCAGGACAUGCCAGAGCCUAGUGAGCAGAGAGUCUCACAUGUCCCUGCUAGACAUAUGAGGAUGUUCAUACAGAAGAAGCUACCAUCUUUGUCUCUUGACCUAUACCU
This 204-nucleotide microRNA precursor is filed under the name Arabidopsis thaliana (thale cress). Its description in RNAcentral is "MIR854 microRNA precursor family". It matches the Rfam family "MIR854 microRNA precursor family". Lineage: Eukaryota; Viridiplantae; Streptophyta; Magnoliopsida; Brassicales; Brassicaceae. The record is from Rfam by way of RNAcentral.